Molecule: long non-coding RNA, 301 nt
Organism: Nothoprocta perdicaria
Lineage: Eukaryota; Metazoa; Chordata; Aves; Tinamiformes; Tinamidae
Exons: 3
Source: RefSeq, a predicted model, not a curated record
CUUUCCGAUUGGCAAGAGGAAGGAGUCUUUGUGGAAUGAGGUGAGCUGUUCUUUGCCAAAACAUCCAACCAGCCUUUCCACUUUCCUCACCUGUUCCAGAGCGGUAUCAGGUUCAUAUCAGCUUUAUGCAGAUGUGUAGUUCUGAAUUCUGAAGAAUCAGGAGGUCCAAAACGUCUUACUAAACUGUUGAACCUGAAGUCCUGAGCGUUCUGAGGUUCAGCCUCUCCUAUAAUUAUGGUGCCUCCGUAAUAGCUCCGUAGUUCCAGGAAGCCACCACUGCCACAGCACUGCCUGGCCAAAG